ACACGACCGUACCGCAAACCGACACUGGUGCGCGAGAUGAGUAUUCUAAGGCGCUUGAGAGAACUCAGGAGAAGGAACUCGGCAAAUUGACACCGUAACUUCGGAAGAAGGUGUGCCUUUAGUAGGUGAACCUGUACAAGGGGAGCCCAAUGAGGUUGCAAAAAAUCGGUGGCUGCGACUGUUUAAUAAAAACACAGCACUCUGCAAACACGAAAGUGGACGUAUAGGGUGUGACGCCUGCCCGGUGCUGGAAGAUUAAAUGAUGGGGUGCAAGCUCUUGAUUGAAGUCCCAGUAAACGGCGGCCGUAACAAUAACGGUCCUAAGGUAGCGAAAUUCCUUGUCGGGUAAGUUCCGACCUGCACGAAUGGCGUAACGAUGGCCACACUGUCUCCUCCUGAGACUCAGCGAAGUUGAAAUGUUUGUGAUGAUGCAAUCUCCCCGCGGAAAGACGGAAAGACCCCAUGAACCUUUACUGUAGCUUUGUAUUGGACUUUGAACAGAUCUGUGUAGGAUAGGUGGGAGGCUUUGAAGUGUGGUCGCUAGAUCGCAUGGAGCCAACGUUGAAAUACCACCCUGGUGUGUUUGAGGUUCUAACCUAGGCCCGUAAUCCGGGUCGGGGACAGUGCAUGGUAGGCAGUUUGACUGGGCGGUCUCCUCCCAAAGCGUAACGGAGGAGUUCGAAGGUACGCUAGGUACGGUCGGACAUCGUGCUAAUAGUGCAAUGGCAUAAGCGUGCUUAACUGCGAGACUGACAAGUCGAGCAGAUGCGAAAGCAGGACAUAGUGAUCCGGUGGUUCUGUAUGGAAGGGCCAUCGCUCAACGGAUAAAAGGUACUCUGGGGAUAACAGGCUGAUACCGCCCAAGAGUUCAUAUCGACGGCGGUGUUUGGCACCUCGAUGUCGGCUCAUCUCAUCCUGGGGCUGUAGCCGGUCCCAAGGGUAUGGCUGUUCGCCAUUUAAAGAGGUACGUGAGCUGGGUUUAAAACGUCGUGAGACAGUUUGGUCCCUAUCUUCCGUGGGCGCUGCAGAUUUGAGGAAGCCUGCUCCUAGUACGAGAGGACCGGAGUGGACACACCUCUGGUGUAUCGGUUGUCACGCCAGUGGCAUUGCCGAGUAGCUAUGUGUGGAAGAGAUAACCGCUGAAAGCAUCUAAGCGGGAAACUCGUUUCAAGAUGAGAUCUGCCGGGGCCUUGAGCCCCCUAAAGAGUCGUUCAAGACCAGGACGUUGAUAGGUCGGGUGUGGAAGCGCAGUAAUGCGUUAAGCUAACCGAUACUAAUUGCUCGUGCGGCUUGACC
This 1296-nucleotide ribosomal RNA is filed under the name metagenome. RNAcentral describes it as "bacterial LSU rRNA". It matches the Rfam family "Bacterial large subunit ribosomal RNA", at positions 1636 to 2925 of the family's 2925-position model. The record is from RNAcentral.